This 349-nucleotide ribosomal RNA is filed under the name uncultured bacterium. Its description in RNAcentral is "bacterial SSU rRNA". It matches the Rfam family "Bacterial small subunit ribosomal RNA", at positions 8 to 350 of the family's 1533-position model. The record is from RNAcentral.
AGAGUUUGAUCCUGGCUCAGGAUGAACGCUAGCUACAGGCUUAACACAUGCAAGUCGAGGGGAAACGACAUCGAAAGCUUGCUUUUGAUGGGCGUCGACCGGCGCACGGGUGAGUAACGCGUAUCCAACCUGCCCACCACUUGGGGAUAACCUUGCGAAAGUAAGACUAAUACCCAAUGACGUCUCUAGAAGACAUCUGAAGGAGAUUAAAGAUUUAUCGGUGAUGGAUGGGGAUGCGUCUGAUUAGCUUGCUGGCGGGGUAACGCCACAAGGCGACGAUCAGUAGGGGUUCUGAGAGGAGGUCCCCCANAUUGGAACUGAGACACGGUCCAAACGUCCUACGGGAGCA